Molecule: ribosomal RNA, 501 nt
Filed under: uncultured bacterium
Lineage: Bacteria
Description: bacterial SSU rRNA
Rfam family: Bacterial small subunit ribosomal RNA
Source: RNAcentral
AAUCAACGCUGGCGGCGUGCCUAACACAUGCAAGUCGAGCGCGAAAGGGGCUUCGGCCCUGAGUAGAGUGGCAAACGGGUGAGUAACACGUGGGUGACCUGCCUUCGAGCGGGGGAUAACGUUCCGAAAGGAGCGCUAAUACCGCAUAACAUCCUGCCUUUGGAAAGGCGGAGAUCAAAGCCGGGGAUCGCAAGACCUGGCACUUGAAGAGGGGCCCGCGCCUGAUUAGCUAAUUGGUGGGGUAAUGGCUCACCAAGGCUACGAUCAGUAUCCGGCCUGAGAGGGCGGACGGACACACUGGGACUGAGACACGGCCCAGACUCCUACGGGAGGCAGCAGUGGGGAAUUGUUCGCAAUGGGCGCAAGCCUGACGACGCAACGCCGCGUGGAGGACGAAGAUCUUCGGGUCGUAAACUCCUGUCGAGCGGGACGAAUGUUCCGCGAGCUAAUAUCUCGUGGAAGUGACGGUACCGCUAAAGGAAGCCCCGGCUAACUCCGUGC